GCUGGCUUCACCCAGUGGAUCCCACACGGUGGCCACAGGUGGAGCUGCCUGCCAGUCCCAAGCCCUGAGCCCGCACUCCUCAGCCUUUGGGUGGUCCAUGGGACUGGGUGCCAUGGAGCAGGGGGCGGGGCUCGUCCGGGAGGCUCCAGGGGCACAGCAGCCCACGGCAGGUGGCGGUGAGGCUCAGGCAUGGCGGGCUGCAGGUCCCAAGCCCUGCCCCGCAAGGAGGAGCUAAGGCCCUGCGAGAAAAGGAGGCAGCUAAGGCCCGGUGAGAAGUCGAGCACAGCAGCUGCUGGCCCAGGGGCUAAGCCCCUUACUGCCCGGCUGGCGGGGCCGGCUGGCUGCUCCGAGUGUGGGGGCCCGCCGAGCCCACGCCCAUCCAGAGCUCACGCUGGCUCACAAGCGGCACGCACAGCCCCGGUUCCCGCCUACGCCUCUCCCUCCUCACAUCCGGGCAAGCUGAGGGAGCCGGCUCCGGCCUUGGCCAGCCCAGGAAGGGGCUCCCCCAGUGCAGCCGCCGGCUGAAGGGCUCCCCAAGUGCCGCCAGAGUGGGCGCGGAGGCCGAAGAGGCACCGAGAGCGAGCGAGGGCUGUGAGGGCCGCCAGCAAGCUGUCACCUCUCAGUACCGCACAGUAAUAGUGUCAUCAUCAUGAAUGAGUUUCUCACAUCAAAAAGUGUGUUCCUGCUGCUUUCCAUCUGCUUUUCUUCCUCUUUAACCUUGCUGGGACAUCUAAAGAGAUGCAUAAUAAAUCAGGUUAAGGAAAAAGAACAAAACAAAACUGGCUAUCUGGAUCAACUGGGAUGCUAGGAAAAGCACUGCAGAGAAAUACCGAUCAAAUAAUAUUCAAUAACAAAAUGAUACAAACCUACAAAAGGAAGGGCACAGGACAGGAAGAAGUAUGAACAAGAAAAAAAAAAUAGGCUGGGUGCGGUGGCUCACGCCUGUAAUCCCAGCACUUUGGGAGGCUGAGGUAAGCAGAUCAUGAGGUCAGGAGAUUGAGACCAUCCUGGCCAACAGGGUGAACCUCGUCUCUACCAAAAAUACAAAAAUUAGCUGGGUGUGGUGCCGCGCGCUUGUGUCCCAGCUGCUCUGGAGGCUGAAGCAGGAGAAUUGCUUGAAGCCGGGAGGUGGAGGUUGCAGUGAGCCAAGAUCGUGCCACUGCACUCCAGCCUAGUGACAGAGCGAGACUCCGUCUCAAAAACAAACAAACAAAAAAAAAAAACUGGCCCAAAACUGAUAAAAAUGCAGUCUGAAUAAGUAGAGCAAAAGGCGCAGAAAAUGUUUCCUCUUAGAAGAGGCCUUGAAGACUUUAUAUCUGAGAACUAAAUAUAGCAAUUUUAUUAAGUUAUAUAUAAUAAUAUUGAGAUUUUAAAAUACAGUGAUGGAAAAACUAGAACACUUAAAGAUAGAACAGCCAACUUCUCAUCAGAAAUAUGAAAGUUAUAAGGCAAAUAGUUUUCACAGUAUAGUUCUAGAACCAGCAAUAUUGGCAUCACUUUGAACAUGAUUAGAAAUUCAAACUCUCAAGACCUACCCAGAUCCACUGAUUUGGAAACUAUAUCAGUAAUCUGGUUUUUUUAAUAAUUUUUUUAAUUUGUAAUUUUUUAAUUAUUAUUUUUGUAGAGACGAGGUCUUGCUGAGUUGCCUAAGCUGGUCUUGAACUCCUGGACUCAAGUGAUCCUCCUACCUCGGCCUCCCAAAAGCAGCAAUCUAUGUUUUAACAGACUCUCCCUGUGAUUCUCAUGUGUGUUUAUGUUUGAGAACCACUGCUUCAAGACAAUGAGGUCCUUAUCUACCUGCUAGAGCCGGGGAUGUUUACUAAUGGACUGAUAUAUUACCUAAGAUUUCGGCUAUGAUUUAAUACAGAUAUGAGAAGAAAUAUGAUGUUCAUUUUAAGAUGACUCAGAUAGUGUUAACUAGGGAUGGAUUAAAUUGAGAGCCCAGGCUGGAGUGCAGUGGCGUGAUCUUGGCUCACUGCAAGUUCCCAUCUCCAGAGUUCACACCAUUCUGCUGCCUCAGACUCCGGAGUAGCUGGGACUCAGGAGCACGCCACCACGCUCGGCUAAUUUUUUUGUGUUUUUUUUAGUAGAGAUGGGGUUUCACCGUGUUAGCCAGGAUGGUCUCGAUCUCCUGACCUUGUGAUCCGCCCGCCUCAGCCUCUCAAAGUGCUGGCAUUAGAGGCGUGAGCCACUGCACCCUGCCUAAAUUGAAAGUUUACGGAAUCUGGGCUGGGCACGGUGGCUUAUGCCUGUAAUCCCAGUACUUUGGGAGGCUGAGGCAGGCGGAUCACUUUAGGUCAAGAGCUUGAGACCAGCCUGGCCAAUAUGGUGAGACCCCGUCUCUGCUAAAAAAAUAUAAAAAUUAGCUGGGCAUGGUGGUCACCUGUAAUCCCAGAUACUUGAGAGGCUGAGGAAGGAGAAUCGCUUGAACCCAGGAGGUGGAGGUUGCCGUGAGCCGAGAUUGCACCACUGCACUCCAGCCUAGGCAACAAAGUGAGACUCUGUCUCUAAAUAAAUAAAUAAACAAAUAAAAAGGUUUACUGAAUCUGAAAUGUUUGUGAUCCAGGCAAAAAGUGCUAAAUAUCUAAUACAGGGAAGUAAUUGGGAGCUCUGUUCUUUCUGCUCAAAUUUUCUGUUAACAUAAACUGCUCUAACAAAUAAUAUAUUACUUUUGAAAAUGUACUGUAUUUUAAUCUGCUGUGGGUUGCCUUUAACAACAUGAAUGGAUACUUAAUAAGAAAAUGUCAUUUUAAUCAUUUAUUGGCUUUUUAAAAAAUAUAUAUGUAAUAGAAAUUUAUAUCCUAAAAUAUAUCCUUUUGCUUUAGAAUGAUGGCAGAGCUAUAUAACUUUGGCAAAUUUGGGUGGAUUAUAUUCGAAUCACUAAUUGCUAAUACUAAAUUAUCUCACUAGACCUUUUAACACUGUGUUUGUUUUUUGUUUUUGUUUUUUGUCUUUUUUUGCAUAUUGCUUUUAUUUUGCAGAAAAUGUUUUGCUGAUUGUCUUUGGCUAUUUUGUCAGAAGAAAAAUAUAACUGUUAUAAGUUUAACAAUACAAGAUACAAUUACAUGUGCUCAAAAUAAACUCAUUCUAAUGGACUGAAUGGUGAAAUUUCCAUUUCAACUAAAAUCUGUUGUUCUACACAAUGGAUUGAUUAUAUCCUUAACAGCUCAAUUACUAUCUGAAAAGUACUCUAAAGCUAUAAGAAAUAGAAUUAAGUGUGAUUUCAUGUCACUAAAGUAAGAUCAGUGGAGUUUAUAAAUGUUAAUAUGUCCAAGUCAUCUGUAUGCUAUUAUUAGAAAUAAAAAAUAAAUUUCUGGACCCUAGCAAAUAUAUGUUUAUAAUGAAUUAAUAAUAACAAAUUAGGC
RNAcentral lists this long non-coding RNA (3365 nucleotides) under Homo sapiens (human). RNAcentral describes it as "HSALNT0085809". Lineage: Eukaryota; Metazoa; Chordata; Mammalia; Primates; Hominidae. The record is from RNAcentral.